UAUCUUUUCAUUCCUUAAAUAGCACCUGAUAAGAUGCUUCUUGGCUAUCCAUUUACCCAGUGUUUUGUGGAGAAGCCAAACUGAAAUGGAGACUUUCCAGCUCAACAACCCAGAAAUAGUUAAUCAUUAUUAGUUUUAGGGUAAGGGUCCAGGGACCAGAAUGCCUCUUCCUAGUCCUGUAUCGCCAUGCGUCAUCUGAUCCCCUUGUGGCCUUGGCUGGCUGCGCUCACCCUGCUGCCCCGGCCUCGGGGAGGGGUGGGAGAUCUCGGACACUACGAGGACCUCCCCUCCAGGGAACAGGGUUUCCGGGAAUGUGCUCCCGGCCUGCUAAUACCCUGCAGCCUCGAGGCAGUUUUGAAGAGGAACCAGCCCCGUCAGGAGCAUUUGCUGCAAGAGACGCUGGGUUAUCUGCCGAUCCUGGUCUGUGGGAAAGAAGCCUUAACUUAAGAGACCUCGUCACGGCUUUCCUGUAGGACAGAGCCCUCCAGUGACCCAGUGGACCAGUGUCUCCUUACUGCCCCAACCACCGUCUGACCGUCAGAUAAUAAACUGUGUGGCUUCUCUCCCUCGGGCACCUCAAGAUUCCAAGUAAGAUACGAGCAGCGAUGUGAAGCUGUCCGUGAGUGAGUUCAUUUCUAGCGGGGUCUGAGUAAAACUCUUUCAAUGACUAGCAGAAAGCAAUGAGCUUUAGAAAAACUGAGCAAAACAAAUCCAAAACGUGACCCAUAAAGAGCCUAAGAAGAGAAACUGGGCCAUUAAGAGGGACAGGGUUAUCUCUGAGUUCCUGCCUCCACAAUUCCUUAUGUACCCAGCACCUCUCCCCUAUAAGAAUAACAGGCUUGUUUUAUUUUAAUAAACGUUUUUAUUCUGGAAUGGUUUUAGGUUUUCAGAAGAGUUGCAAGGACAGCACACAGAGCCCCCGGAUACCCCUCACUUAGUCUCCCCUGGGCUAACAUAACAUACGUAACAGCAUAUACGUUACCACCACACACUGGUCAAAACUAAAAACCAACACUGGUAAAUUACUAUGAACUAAACUCCAGACUUUAUUUGUAGGUUUUCCCACAAACGUCCUGUUCUCUUCCCGGAUCCCACCCAGGGCACCACGGUCAUAUGUCCUCAGCCGUCAAAUGUCCUCAAUCUCCCUGGUCUGUGAGAGUUGCUCCCUCUUUCCUCGGUUCCAUACCUCACAGUUUUGAGGGGCAUUUUGUAGAUAUCGGUUAUUUUGCAGAAUGUCCCUCAGUGUGGUUUUGUCUGAUGUUUUUCUCAUGAUUAGAUUGAGAUUAUGGGUUUGGGUCAAACGACCGCAGAGGAGAACGGCCCUUCUCAUCACGUCGGGGGCUCCGUGCUGUCUACAGGACUUCUCGCUGAUGAGGUUCACCUGCAUAACAGAGUGUCUGCUCGGUUUUUCUAUCGCCACGUUAUUGUUUCUCCCUUUCCCUACUCUACUCUUUGAAGGCAAAUCUAAGUCCAACCCAUGUUCAAGGGGGAAGGGAGGUGGUACACAGGGACCCAGCUCUGCCCCUUGAAUGCGGGAGCAACACUAUAUAUUAUUCAGAAUUCUUCUGUAAGGAAGAUCUGUCACUCCUCUCUCCUCAUUGACUUAUUUAUUCAGUCACUUAUAUCAAUAAGGUCUUAAGUGGACUCAUAAGAACUUAGAGUUUGGAUUAUAACCCAGGGCUCUAGCAUUGAUUUUGUUGCUCAAAUUGUUCCAGCCGCCAACUCUGCUCACCCUGCUGGCUCCAAGGGCUCCUCCUCCAACCCCUUAAGAGACCUGACCUGGAGAGGCUACCUCUCUGCUCUCUUGGCACAACUCCACUCACCUGGCCCAACCCUGGCUCCCACUCUAGAGCUGAGCUUGGAGUUAACCAGCGGGCACCCAGUCCCCUCCAAGAUCGUCUCGCUCCCCUCCCACCCGGCGUCAUCACCAGCCAAAGGGCAACACCAGGACUGAACUCAGAAGCCAGAGGUGGGCUGACACUUGGGCGCAAAGGCCAUGGAUGUGUGCCAGGUGGGGCGCUGCGUGCGGCCCUCCUCAGGGUGCCAGAUGCCGUGAGGCGUGUCCUGGGAGAGGAACUGUCUGCCCACAGGAGCUGCCGCCAGUGUGUUCUUGUGAAAGCACGAUAACCUGCCAUUUUUUCCCUCACUCUGAUCAGAUUUCCAGGUUUGAAACCAAGUUCAGAUUUCCCUUCCACGUGUGCCACGCGUCCUUAACGUUUCAUGUUUCUUUCCUAUUUUGAGUCUAGAGGAAGUCCAUGGUUUGAAAAUGGAAACGAGUCUUGGCUGCUUCACCUGCACCCACUUUUAGCAUCAAACCAUGGCAACGUCACACACACAGCUCAUCACCAGUGUUCAGAGUGGAUUCACGCCGCCAGACGCUACUUUCAGUCUGCUUAUUUAUAACCAAGGUGAAUUUCUCCAUCAAAUUUGACUUUACAUUUUUUUCAUAUGACAAUGAAAUCCUAAGUUGUACUGAAAACCAGAGCGGGCAAUGACGGUUUAAGACAUGUCCUUGUCUUGAAUUUUACAAGCAGUAAAAAUUUCAACAUGGCCCGUGUCAGGAGCCAUGAAAGAUGCCAGGAACAACAUGUGUUUCCACACCAUCUGCGGAGGGACAGGCAAGAGGGGACACUGUGUUUAAGUGUGUCUUCCAGGAUGAAUGGGACCCCUUCUCUUGCCAUGAAAGUGCCACUGCGUUCAUGGAAGAUUCCAGAGAGUCUCCCUGACAGUGAGAAACAGCUGUUCCUAAAAGCACAGAGUUACAAACCCUACAGGCAAAACUGAGGCUCCGCUUGGUGGUGUCAGCCUGAGAAACAGGCUUCCAAGGCUGAGAUCCUGCCUCCCUCGGCCCUGCGUGUCCCUCCAAACAGGCACGUUCCUUUAAAAUCUGCUUUGCUUCCUUUCGCUUGAAAUUAUCCCUCCAAAAGAAGAUGUGGUCACGCAUUUGUGGUCUUACCAAAUCUGCCCUAUACCAGAGCUGUACAUUCAAUUUCUUUACUUUGAAUAGGAAGAACGGCUGAAAUGACUUCCAUCAGUGCUGGUUUGGGAAGCUUUUAGAUGUCACAGAGGUUACCAGUUAGGAAAAAAAUAAAAACAAGACUAAUUAAAGAGAAGGACAUUUAUCACAGAUUUCAUAAUUACUCGUGGGUGUGUGGCUUCACUACUGAAGGGGCUGUGUUACUAUAAAAUAAACUUUGCAAAAGUUUCUUCUAAAAGCAAUAUACUCAGUAGUCGUGUGAUGAAGAUUGAUCAAUGUGGUUUUCCAGAGGUGGAGGUCGUGGGGGGGGGACUGGGGAAAGGUGGUCAAAAGGUACAAACUUCCAGUUAUAAGGUAAGUUCUGGGGAUGUGAGGUACAGCACGGUGACCCGAGUUAAUAAUACUGUACUGUGUAUUUGAAAGUUGCUAAGAGAGUAGAUUUUAAAAGUUCUCAUCACAAGAAAAAAAAUCUAACUCUGUAUGGUAAUGGAUGUUAACUAGACAUUGUGGUUAUCUCUUUGUAGUACAUAUAUCAGAUCAUUAAGUUAUACACCUGAACCUCAUACAAUGUUAUAUGUGAAUUACAUCUCAAUAAAACUGGAGGGGAGAUAAAACGAGGGGGAAAAAAGAUUGAUUAAAUUAGCUGUUUAUAGCUUGAUACAACUUCCAGUGAUUCUGCUUUUAUUAAAGUCCUCCAUCAUAAAUUAGGAAUGAGGAUUACUUGCUCUGGAAAAUGCAUCAGGCUCAAAAAGUGGCCCUAGUUUUAAUAAAACUGACACAAAGGGAGACCAGGAGAAGCAGUAUUUUAAAACUAAUAUGUAAGUAAGAUGUGAUUUUAUAUGUAUAUCUACAGAACUAAAUCAGCUAACAGUGAUUUUGCAGUGGUUACAAUUAGUACAAGUAGAAAAUUGGGCCCUUUAAGUUUAUAUUCCAGGAAGCCUAUAUAGUCAAGGUGGCCAAACGCUUUUCCUGGAUCUUGGUGAGGGAGAGGAGGGCCGGCACCAUACAUUCGAGGUUCAUGUAUGUCGGGUACGAACUGAUUUCCAAGGAGAAUGGUGUUGAUCCAAACAAACAUGCUGCAGCUCGUCUCCAUCUCACGUCCACUUUCAGGAAACCCACCCAGGCUGCCAUCCUCUCCUCUGUUGCCAAAUGUUAUUCACUUCUCAAUGCGAUUGUAACUCCUGGCCUAAGCAAUAAACCACUAACGGGCCGCC
Long non-coding RNA from Camelus dromedarius (Arabian camel), 4191 nucleotides. RefSeq lists it as uncharacterized. The record is from RefSeq and is a predicted model, not a curated record. Lineage: Eukaryota; Metazoa; Chordata; Mammalia; Artiodactyla; Camelidae. The transcript is spliced from 2 exons.